UACCAGCUCCCUGAGUGGUAGGGAUGAUUAUUUGGCCUAAAGCGUCCGUAGCCGGCUUGGUAAGUCCUUCGUUAAAUCCAACGACUCAAUCGUUGGUCCGCGGAGGAUACUGCCAGGCUAGAGGACGGGAGAGGUUGACGGUAGUCCCAGGGUAGGGGUGAAAUCCAAUAAUCCUGGGAGGACCACCAGUGGCGAAGGCGGUCAACAAGAACGUGCCUGACGGUGAUGGACGAAAGCUGGGGGAGCGAACCGGAUUAGACACCCGGGUAGUCCCAGCCGCAAACGAUGCGGGCUAGGUGUUAGGGCAGCUACGAGCUGCUCUAGUGCCGCAGAGAAGUCGUUAAGCCCGCCGCCUGGGGAGUACGAUCGCAAGAUUGAAACUUAAAGGAAUUGGCGGGGAGCACCACAAGGGGUGAAGCCUGCGGUUC
This 428-nucleotide ribosomal RNA is filed under the name uncultured archaeon. RNAcentral describes it as "bacterial SSU rRNA". It matches the Rfam family "Archaeal small subunit ribosomal RNA", at positions 474 to 903 of the family's 1478-position model. The record is from RNAcentral.